UGCCAGCAGCCGCGGUAACACGGGGGGCGCAAGCGUUAUUCGGAAUUAUUGGGCGUAAAGGGCGCGCAGGCGGUCUUGUCCGUCAGGUGUGAAAGCUCGGGGCUCAACCCCGGAAGUGCAUUGGAAACUGGCGAACUUGAGUACGGGAGAGGAAAGUGGAAUUCCUGGUGUAGAGGUGAAAUUCGUAGAUAUCAGGAGGAACACCGAUGGCGAAGGCAUCUCUCUGGGCCGAUAUUGACGCUGAGGCGCGAAGGCGUGGGUAGCGAACGGGAUUAGAUA
Molecule: ribosomal RNA, 279 nt
Filed under: uncultured bacterium
Lineage: Bacteria
Description: partial 16S ribosomal RNA
Rfam family: Bacterial small subunit ribosomal RNA
Source: RNAcentral